CUUUUUUUUUUUUUUGAGACGCAGUCUUGCUCCGUCGCCCAGGCUGGAGUGCAGUGGCGUGAUCUCGGCUCACUGCAACCUCCGCCUCCCAGGUUCAAGUGAUUCUCCUGCCUCAGCCUCCUGAACAGCCGGGAUUACAGGCACAGGCCACCACACCCGGCUAAUUUUUGUAUUUUUAGUAGAGACGGGGUUUCCCCAUGUUGGUCAGGCUGGCCUCGAACUCCUGACUUCAGAGGAUCAGCCUGCCUCAGCCUUCCAAAGUGCUGGGAUUACAGGCAUGAGGUCAGGAGUUCGAGACCAGCCUGGCCAACACAGUGAAACCCCGUCUGUACUAAAAAUACAAAAAUUAGCCAGGUCUGGUGGCAGGCGCCUGUAAUGCCAGCUACUCGGGAGGCUGAGAUGGGAGAAUCGCUUGAACCCGGGAGACAGUGGUUGCAGUGAGCCAAGAUCGCACUACUGCACUCUAGCCUGGACGGCUAAGCGAGACUCCGUCUCAAAAAAAAAAAAUUAAAAUAUUCGCAUGCCAUAAAAUUCCCCCUUGUAGAACCUGGAGAAUACGAUGCCAAGUGAAAUAGGCCAGACGCUGAGAGAGAAAAACACUGCGUAAUCCCACGUAUUGUGGAGUCCAAAAACAAAACAAGCAAAGAACCCCAAAUACAGCCAGGCACGGUGGCUCAUGCCUGUAAUCCCAGCGCUUUGGGAGGCCGAGGCGGGUAAAUCACCUGAGGUUGGGAGUUCAAGACCAGCCUGGCUAACAUGGUGAAAGCCCGUCUCUACUAAAAAUAUAAAAUUAGCCGGGCGUGGUGGUGCAUGCCUGUAAUCCCAGCUACUCAGGAGGCUGAGGCAGGAGAAUCGCUUGAACCCGAGAGGCAGAGGUUGCAGUGAGCUGGGAUCGUGCCACCUGCACUCCAGCCUGGGGAACAGAGCGAGACUCCAUCUCAAAACAAACACACAAUCAAAACCUCCCAAAUACAUAGAAACAGAAAGCAGAAGAGCGGUUAGUGGUAGAGGAGGGAAAGGAAGGGGGAGAUGGGGGUCAGAGGAUACAUAGUUUCAGCUGUGUUGGAAACACUGAGAGAUGUCACUGUAGCCUGUGAACCAGCUAAAGAUAUUGUACUAUGGGCUGGGCACAAGGGCUCAUGCCUGUAAUCCUAGUGCUUUGGGAGGUUGAGGUGGGAGGAUUGCUGAAGGCCAGAAGUUUGCAACCAGCCUGGGCAACAUAGCAAGACCCUAGGCCAGAAGUUUGCAACCAGCCUGGGCAACAUAGCAAGACCCUAUCUCUACAAAAAAUUUAAAAAUUUGCUGGGCAUGGUGGCUCCAGGGAUCACGUGAGCCCAGAAGGCAGAGGCUGCAGUGAACCGAGAUCACACCACUGCACUCCAGCCCGGGCAACAGAGCAAGACUCUGACUCAAAUAAAUAAAUCAAAAUAAAAUAAAAUAAAUAAUAGAAACUGAAAACAAAAACCAGGCCUCACCCACAGUGUCGAAGGCAUGCAUCUUCUAGGGUUAUUAAGGUGCUGGUUGUUAUUUUUGCUUGUAAUUCUGAAAAGGCUGAUAGAUUUUAUAGCCCAGUAUCUCCAAGCAGCGCCCAAGGACACAAACAGCCAGACCCUCAGCUCCCAAACCUGGGGAUUUGCAACAGACAAACACAGAGCUGGGAAAUUCCGCAGCAGGGCAGAUGAGGGAUCGAUCUGAGUCCCAUGAUCCUCGGCCCUGCUGAGGUCCCAGGAGGCUGCACACAUUGAAAUCCACAUCCUGAGUGGGGCGGAGGGAGGAGGAGAAUCCCAGGAGCUGGGGGGCCCCCCUGGUUUAUACCGUCUUCCCCAUCAGGAGUUUAUCCUGGUGUCUGGAGUGAGAAGGGAUCGAAGUCUAUUUUUUUCCAGAUGAAUGUAGGGUCUCCCCCUCGGCACUGUGGGCAUUGGGGCCGGAUCAUUCUCUGGGGUGGGGCUGUCCUGGGCACUGCGGGGAGCUGAGCAGCGUCCCUGGCCUCCACCCACCCCAUGCCAGGGGCAUCCCCCAUCUAGAGCUGUUCCGUUGCCUUGAAUUUCUGCCCUCUGGCCUCCCCUGUCCUCAUCCUUAUGGGAUCUUCAGAUGGUGCCCUUGAGGCCCAGGGCCCGUGUCCCCUCCUCACUCAGCCCUCCUAUCCACAGGUGACUCACAGUCCCCUUGGCACCACCCAGGCGCUGUCCCUGGCCUCGCCCAUGGCUAACCUUGGCAGGCAUCCCCAACAGAGGCGAGGGGACAGCUCUCGCCUGCCUCGGCGAGCCCGGGUUCCAGAAGAUGUGCCCAGCACCCUGGGCCCCCCACCGCCGGGUCUGGGACACAGAUGCUCUCCUCCAAACCUCCCAUUCAGACCCUCGCUGUGGCGGGGGCGGGGCCGUGUCUUUUGAGACUCUGCAUAUGCACGAGGGGGUGAGUUUGAGUGAGGCGGUCUCCAUGCAGAGGAAGGUCUUUAUUUAGGAAGCCAGGUGGGGGCGGGGCCGGCUGGGGAGGAGAGGCGGAGAGGAAAGACGAGCUUCUGCAGAUUUCAAACCUGUCAUUUCUUUUCUGACGCAUACCCUCCCCUCCCGCUUCAUGACAAGCUCUGUUCCC
This 2592-nucleotide long non-coding RNA is filed under the name Homo sapiens (human). Its description in RNAcentral is "non-protein coding lnc-GADD45B-1:1". The record is from RNAcentral. Lineage: Eukaryota; Metazoa; Chordata; Mammalia; Primates; Hominidae.